Lycium barbarum (goji berry) is the source of this 1866-nucleotide long non-coding RNA. RefSeq lists it as uncharacterized. The record is from RefSeq and is a predicted model, not a curated record. NCBI's taxonomy places the organism in Eukaryota, Viridiplantae, Streptophyta, Magnoliopsida, Solanales, Solanaceae. The transcript is spliced from 3 exons.
UUGCAACCUAGAAAUUGAAGAUGGAGGUAAAAGCACAUCAAAGGUAACACGAGCUGGGACCGCUUGACCGUCUGAUGCACCUGUCCAAAAUAUUCCACCAUUUUCUGAUGCUUUCUCCAGGCUAGUCAUUAGAAUCUCCGCUUGAACCCUGAAUGAUAAGAGAAGAGGGGAAGCAAUAGAAGGUUUUGCAUUCUUCUUUGAGGCAUUGGUUAUUAUCUCAGGGAGGACUGAAGUUGGAGAGCUCGAAAGGGAGGAAUUGUUGCUCGAGUAAGUCUCCGAAAAGUUCUUCUCGAAUGCGUCAGGUGAAGGACUUGGACUUGUAUCUCUCGUCUUACAUUCCUCAUCCUCAGACUCAUCCUCAUGCUCGUGUUCAUGCUCAUCCUCAUCCUCAUCCGCAUCCGUCAUCUCUAACAUCCUUUCACUAGCUAACUUGAUAAUGUCAUCGAGCAAUGCCAAUACUACAUAAGUAAUAUAAGAAAACCAUUAUGACUGCACAUCGAAGUGAAAAAUAUAAAUAAUGGAAAAGGCUGAAUACAUUGAUAGCCCCUUAUACUUGUCAGCAAAUUUCAUUUAGAAACUCGAACUAGGGUUUGUUUUGAUUGAACACCUGAACACAUGAUAAUGUGUUCCUAUCAGACACUUUGAGUUCAAAUUUCAAAAAAGCUUUUUCACGUGUUAUUAAGCGCCAAUUACAUUAAUAAAUUAACCAAUUAAAAUAUGUCGCUUUCUUUAAUUAUACGCAUUAGCCUCAAUAAGCCGUAAAACUUUAUGCAUGAUCCAAUUGAGGUUGAUGUGUCUAAUUAAAGGAAGUGACAUAUUGUAUGUGGUUAAUUUACUAUGUCAUGGACAUCUGAGAACACGUCCAGAAGCUGUUACAAAAUUUGAACUCGAAGUUUCUAUUAUGAAGACUUUAUCAUGUGUUAAGGUAUUCAAUCGAAAUAGGCCUUAGUUCGAAUGUCUAAAUGAAAUUUGAUGGCAAGUUUAAGGGGCUAUUGAUGUAUUAAGCCAACGGAAAAAUACAUCACUUUAUAAUGUUGAACUACAGAGAUGAUCAUAUACCAUAUUCAAAAUCAUUUAGUUUACUGUGUGAGUUCCCUUUGCAUGUGACCAUCCACUCAUCAUUUCCUGUCCACAUUUGCCCGAUUGAUUUCAAUAUAUCACAAAAGCAUCGCACUUUCUGAAAAAAAAAAAAAAAAAAAGGGAAAUUUUGGUGAGCUCAAUAAGUUUGUGAUUUUGUUUAAAAACAACAGCUACUGCAUAUACUUAAAGUGCUCAACUUAGGGAGUAAAUUACUUCAUGUAUUGAUGUUCCAUCUAUUUUUGACAAUGAAAAAUUCGGAUUGAUCGAAGGAAACAGUUUAUGUAGAUCUCUCAGAGUUGAUAUCAGCAGCUGUUGAAAACAGAAAAAAGUUAAUUAAAGAGACUCUUCUUGUUAUUCUCUCCUGAAAAUGGCAUAGACAUUUAUAUGAGUAAAGUGAUUGUAUGUUGCUUGGACUCUUCCAAAAUGUUGACAGGUGCGUGUCGGAUCUUUCAAAAGUAGUGCAUUUUUGGAGGAUCCGACACAGGUGGCGAAACCAGGAGCUUUGGAAGGGCGUCAAGAUUUAAUAUAUAUGUAUAAAAAAUUCAGAGCCAUCACAAGGAGAAAGAUCAAGCAAAUCUCUCAAUGUGAGGAUCUUGUUUUGUAUACCUGUCAUUAUUCUGAAAUUGCUGGCCACACCAAUUGAAUUGUGAAAAGUGGGACUUUUUGUUGCUCUCACCCCAUUUGAAUUGAGCAAUCUGGGACUUUUUGGUGUUUUCACCAUAUUUGAAUUGUGUAAUCUUGGACUUCUUGGUGUUUGCACCCAACAUGAAUUGCGCACUUUGGAGA